CCACGCGAUGGGCAACGGGCCGGGGUCGCUGGUCGACUACCAGCGGAUCCUCGAGGGGUACGAGCGGUUCUGUGGCGGCUUCGUCUGGG
RNAcentral lists this transfer RNA (89 nucleotides) under Plantactinospora mayteni. RNAcentral describes it as "tRNA-Val". Lineage: Bacteria; Bacillati; Actinomycetota; Actinomycetes; Micromonosporales; Micromonosporaceae. The record is from RNAcentral.